GUAUACAACAUAAAAGAAACAACUGUGUUGAUGAAAAACUGUUGCAGAGAACACAAGACAAUACCGUCUUCGGGGGUACUGAAAUUUCAAGCUUGAAUGCAUAUUAAAGUUGUGUUAAAUGAAGAAAAUGCCAUGUAAGAAGCUUGUAACCUUUUUUCGACGUUUGUAAACAACACGUACUACUGAAGCCGAGUGCUAUGCUGGAAGUGUUGGUACCUCGCUCUACAAGACUUCUUUGCAAGACAUUUCAAGCUACUAUCAAAGUGGGUUGGCUUUGAUUGAUACCGAGUCUAAGGCAAAUGCUUUAUAUUCAAAAGCUUAAAGAGCGAGAAGCUGAAUUGUUAACCAUAAGUUCUUAUUCAACCAGUAUUGAGAAAUCUAAAUCGAUUACCAACUGGUAAAAGAAUUAAAGAGAGUGACAAUUACUACAUCAACAAACAAGUGCCAGCUCCGCUAAUGAA
RNAcentral lists this unclassified non-coding RNA (461 nucleotides) under Melitaea cinxia (Glanville fritillary). RNAcentral's name for it is "misc RNA ENSMCXG00005000950.1". Lineage: Eukaryota; Metazoa; Arthropoda; Insecta; Lepidoptera; Nymphalidae. The record is from RNAcentral.